CUAUCCCAGAGGCUGCCGAAGAUGGGGAGCUGAUGUGAAAAUUGAAGCAAUUACCCAGAUCACUCAGGCAGAAGAAUGUCUGAGGCUUUUUUUCCCUUGAACAAUCCAGAUAAUUGCUUCAAUUUACACUUCUUACUGGUGGUGGAGAUGGGUACAGACAUAGCUCUCCAGGAAUGGGCUGAAUAGAGGGAAACGGUGCUUGGAAAAUGAGUCUGAUAACUCAGGGGGAGAAAACACUGGGAAAAAUUCACAUGCUUCGGCCUUGAUUUCUACCAGCCUCAAGCAAGUCAAAGUGAGACUGUUCAUUGUUGCCUGAGUGAUCUAGGUAAUUCUCUAUUUUGUGUUUCAUCUUCACAACGAAGCUUUUCGGGCCGUGCAAGUGUUGCUGGUGGAGACAGCUGAAUAAAUCAUGGCUGGGAACUUCAGGUUUGAGACCCUUACCCUGUGCUGGCUGAUAAUAUUUUUAGCACCGUUUCAACAGAUGGGAUAAAAAAAUAAACAUUCAGAGAAGUUCAGUACAUUUUCCAAAGUCACAAAAUUUGUUAGCAGCUGACCUGGAAUGAAAAAUAAAGGAUCCUGAACCAAAGGCUCCAUCUGCAAUGCAACAUCAUUUCUUUCAGGAUCACCUUCCUUUAACAUGUUCGGAGGAAGAAGCGUUGGUCUCACAUCCUCCCAAGGGAAGCCCACCUCUCCUCUGUGGUUGCAUUCAAAACCCUCUUUCAGCUUUGCUGUGGAAUGGCUACUCUGUCUGAUCUUAUCACUGCUGCAUCUCUGGGAUUCUGGUCCUCCUGCAACACGAUGCUGCUGUUGCUGCUGGCACCGCUGCCAUGUCCAUCUCAGCCAGGAGCUGGUGGGGCAGGAGACUGUUUUUGUCUUUGCCUUGGGCUGUAAUUCCUUCAAGCACCACUGACAGACUGAGGGGUGCAGAGACUUCACUGGAGGAGACUUUAUCAUGGGGGAAAAUCCUCAAAACUAGGUUCCAUUUUUCACUUUUCCCAGAGUCCAAGGGUCCAGGAUCAUCCACAAGACACAAUACUCCUCACCAGUACAUUUUCUGGAUGUUAUUUAUGGACCAAUAAAUUUUGAAUUGACAGUGGCAUCUAGAUCAGUGCUGUUCAAUAAAAAUAUCUCAUGAGCUACAUAUGUAAUUCAAACAUUUCUGGAAGUCAAUGUAAAAAAGGAAAAAGAAACACAGGUGAUGUUUUAUUCAAUUAUUUAAUAUAUUUUAUUUAACCCAAUAUAUCCAAAGCAUUUCCAUUUCAACAUGUAACCAAUAAAAAUAAUUAUUAAUGAAAUAUUUUACAGUCAUUUUCACACUGUCUUCAAAGUCCUGUUUGUAUUUUACACUGACUGCUCAUUUUGUUAUGGACAUUAAAUUUUUAUUAGAAAUACUUGAUCUGUGUUUAGAUUUUAUAAAAUUUACAGUUGAAAAUGUG
This 1436-nucleotide long non-coding RNA is filed under the name Homo sapiens (human). RNAcentral's name for it is "HSALNT0306441". The record is from RNAcentral. Lineage: Eukaryota; Metazoa; Chordata; Mammalia; Primates; Hominidae.